RNAcentral lists this long non-coding RNA (216 nucleotides) under Medicago truncatula (barrel medic). RNAcentral's name for it is "lncRNA gene31280". Lineage: Eukaryota; Viridiplantae; Streptophyta; Magnoliopsida; Fabales; Fabaceae. The record is from RNAcentral.
GUGGCACAAUUUUUUCUCUAAAAAGAAGGAAAAAAAAUGGUGUGGGGGUGUGGCAUUUCUCUUUUAGAGCUAAAAUAUUUGAUUUAGCUUUCUUAAAAACACUCAACCCCGUACUAAGAUUUGGGGAUUUUCUUCUAGAUCUGGAUACUAACCUUCAAAUAAUUAAAUAAAGAAACUUAUCAAUAAAAAUGUAGCAAAGAUCAAAGGAAAACAAAA